Humulus lupulus (European hop) is the source of this 1011-nucleotide long non-coding RNA. RefSeq lists it as uncharacterized. The transcript has 5 exons. Lineage: Eukaryota; Viridiplantae; Streptophyta; Magnoliopsida; Rosales; Cannabaceae. The record is from RefSeq and is a predicted model, not a curated record.
GCGGCGCUGGUUCUCGACGACGCUGGUUCUCGGCGGCGCUGGUUCUCGGCGGAGGGUUCCCGUUCAUGUAUGGUUCACACCCAGCAGGAUCUUGAUAACACUCUCAGAAAAUGUAAAGAAGAAUUUAAGCAGUUUGAAAGGGAGGACAUUAAAUAUCGAGAAGAUUUAAAGCACAUGAAGCAAAAUAUCAAGAAACUAACUGAUAAGCUUGAAAAAGGUAGGUAAUAUGCAUUAUAAUAUUAUGUGAACAUGUACAUACGUCUAAAAUCUAUCUUCCAACUCAUGAUUCAUCAAAGAUCGAAGACUUUCAAAAAGAGAGUGAGAACUCAGCAAAUUUGAUUCCAAAACUUGAGGAAAAUAUUCCAAAACUGCAAAAGCUCUUAGUGGAAGAGGAAAAAGUACUAGAGGAGAUUAAGGAGAAUUCAAAAGUUGAAACAGAGAGACACCGCUCUGAGCUUGCAAAAGUUCGUGCUGAAUUGGAACCUUGGGAAAAAUAACUUAUUGAGCACAAGGGAAAACUUGAAGUUGCAUCUACCGAGAAUAAGCUUUUAAGUGAAAAGCAUGAAGCUGCUCGUGCAGCUUUUGAAGAUGCGCAAAAGCAGAUGGAAGACAUAUCGGGAGCUAUUGAAACAAAAACUGAGAGUAUCACAAAAAUUCAAAGUGAUCUUGAAAGGAGCAAAUUCGAAGCAUUGGAAGCUCAUAAAGUGGAACAAGAAUGCAUCAAAGAGCAAGAAGAACUUAUUCCUCUUGAACAAGCAGCAAGACAGAAGGUUACAGAACUCAAGGCUGUUAUGGAUUCUUAAAAGAGUCAAGGAUCAGUUUUGAAAGCCAUUUUGCAGGCUAAGGAUUCUAACCGGAUACAGGGAAUAUAUGGUCGAAUGGGUGACUUGGGAGCUAUUGACGGUUAGUUGCCUUGCCUUGCAUUCAGUGAAGUAAAUGUAUAUACGUAUAUACAUCCAAGUUUAUCUGGAGUUGCAUUAUUGCAUGAUCAAUUAUCCAGACUAGUAUAUA